CAGGCAAGCAUAAAUAAGACAAAAUCUUGUGUAAAUUUUAAGAUACAUUUUUUAUCCUAUUGUGUUCACAAAUAUGUUUUCAGUCAUGCUAGCGGCUCUUGUGAUGUUAUGCCAGUUCUGACAUAAUUUCACAAAUACCUCAACAAAACUAGGUCAACAAUUUGAAACACCUUUAUGUCUCUGCCCUCUUUCUGUUUUCAGUCAUAUUCUGCUUUUCCUUCUCCUAAUUUUUCUAAACAUGUUUAUUUCUCAAGAAUGACAAACUUGGCAGAAAAUAGUGUAGCAAGGCCUGUUUGAAUACACAAACAUAGCGCACAAUAAUGCAAAGGAUUUUUUUUUGCUUUUUUGUGCUUAUGCAACCAAAAACAAUGCUUCCAAUGCCUCAGCUUUAAUAAUUGGCAGUUUGUUGUGGGACCAUAAUGCUAAUAGGUGGUGAAACGAGGGCUUUGUACUGUAAAAGCUGGCAGAAGCUGUGUGGCCUGGAUCACGUAAUGGCUGCUGUGUGUGUUAAACUGUACUACAAACCAAUAAAACUACACCACAGAACAUUAGUUUGUACCCCAACGGGAGACUUACUGAAGUGUUGUUUCCUACUGCAGGAUUUUUCAAACUCAGUCAAUCAAUGAAGUGAAUUCAACCUUCUCUGAGACGUCUGUUUUUCAGUGUGUUCGCCAGACGCCUGUGUGAAACUGGGUUUGGGAUUUGCGGGAUUAGUGGCAUGGUGGACAGCCGGGUUUGGCAUAGCUAACAGGGUGGUGACUGCAGCGCUAAAAGAGCUAAUUUCAGCACAUGGCAUCUGGGUGGGAAAGCUAACUUAACGAGCGUCUCCCUCCCCUGAAGAAUAAGUGUCAAACCGCUCCUGACCAAGACGCCUCAGCGUCCGGCAGUGACCGGCAGUAGUACGUUACGUGUGUAGCAUCUCAAUGCUGAGAAACGGUGUGUCUAGUGAAGGUUCACUAGAUGCACGAAUGAAACAUUGUCUUUAAAUUCAUAUUGACAGCGUUUGGGGAGGCAGAGAAUAUCAG
Molecule: long non-coding RNA, 1025 nt
Organism: Gasterosteus aculeatus aculeatus (three-spined stickleback)
Lineage: Eukaryota; Metazoa; Chordata; Actinopteri; Perciformes; Gasterosteidae
Source: Ensembl